Molecule: non-coding RNA, 71 nt
Organism: Podarcis lilfordi (Lilford's wall lizard)
Lineage: Eukaryota; Metazoa; Chordata; Lepidosauria; Squamata; Lacertidae
Source: the annotation of a GenBank genome assembly
GGUCAUAAGCUCAGGGGCAGAGCACAUGCUUCGCAUGCGAAUGGUCCCAGGUUCAAUUCCUUGCAUCUUCA